GACGAACGCUGGCGGCGUGCUUAACACAUGCAAGUCGAACGGAAAGGCCCUGCUUUUGUGGGGUGCUCGAGUGGCGAACGGGUGAGUAACACGUGAGUAACCUGCCCUUGACUUUGGGAUAACUUCAGGAAACUGGGGCUAAUACCGGAUAGGAGCUCCUGCUGCAUGGUGGGGGUUGGAAAGUUUCGGCGGUUGGGGAUGGACUCGCGGCUUAUCAGCUUGUUGGUGGGGUAGUGGCUUACCAAGGCUUUGACGGGUAGCCGGCCUGAGAGGGUGACCGGCCACAUUGGGACGGAGAACGGGCCAAAACCCCGCCGGGAGGAAGAGGGGGGGAAUAUGGCAAAAGGGGCGAAACCCGGAGCAAGAAACGCCGGGUGGGGGAAGAGGGCCUUCGGGUGGAAAACCGCUUUCCCCGGGGACGAAGGGGGGGGGACGGUAAUGGGUAAAGAAGCACCGGCUAACUACGG
RNAcentral lists this ribosomal RNA (467 nucleotides) under uncultured bacterium. Its description in RNAcentral is "partial 16S ribosomal RNA". It matches the Rfam family "Bacterial small subunit ribosomal RNA", at positions 28 to 506 of the family's 1533-position model. The record is from RNAcentral.